GAUGAACGCUGGCGGCGUGCCUAAUACAUGCAAGUCGAGCGAACAGACGAGGAGUUUGCUCCUCUGACGUUAGCGGCGGACGGGUGAGUACCACGUGGAUAACCUACCUAUAAGACUGGGAUAACUUCGGGAAACCGGAUCUAAUACCGGAUAAUAUAUUGAACCGCAUGGUUCAAUAGUGAAAGACGGUUUUGCUGUCACUUAUAGAUGGAUCCGCGCCGGAUUAGUUAGUUGGUACGGUAACGGCUUACCAAGGCGACGAUGCGUAGCCGACCUGAGAGGGUGAUCGGCCACACUGGAACUGAGACACGGUCCAGACUCCUACGGGAGGCAGCAGUAGGGAAUCUUCCGCAAUGGGCGAAAGCCUGACGGAGCAACGCCGCGUGAGUGAUGAAGGUCUUCGGAUCGUAAAACUCUGUUAUUAGGGAAGAACAAAUGUGUAAGUAACUAUGCGCGUCUUGACGGUACCUAAUCAAAAAGCCACGGCUAACUACGUG
RNAcentral lists this ribosomal RNA (497 nucleotides) under uncultured bacterium. Its description in RNAcentral is "partial 16S ribosomal RNA". It matches the Rfam family "Bacterial small subunit ribosomal RNA", at positions 28 to 507 of the family's 1533-position model. The record is from RNAcentral.